Molecule: ribosomal RNA, 429 nt
Filed under: bacterium
Lineage: Bacteria
Description: partial 16S ribosomal RNA
Rfam family: Bacterial small subunit ribosomal RNA
Source: RNAcentral
UGGGGAAUUUUGGACAAUGGGCGAAAGCCUGAUCCAGCAAUGCCGCGUGUGUGAAGAAGGCCUUCGGGUUGUAAAGCACUUUUGUCCGGAAAGAAAUGGCUCUGGUUAAUACCUGGGGUCUAUGACGGUACCGGAAGAAUAAGGACCGGCUAACUACGUGCCAGCAGCCGCGGUAAUACGUAGGGUCCAAGCGUUAAUCGGAAUUACUGGGCGUAAAGCGUGCGCAGGCGGUUGUGCAAGACCGAUGUGAAAUCCCCGAGCUUAACUUGGGAAUUGCAUUGGUGACUGCACGGCUAGAGUGUGUCAGAGGGGGGUAGAAUUCCACGUGUAGCAGUGAAAUGCGUAGAGAUGUGGAGGAAUACCGAUGGCGAAGGCAGCCCCCUGGGAUAACACUGACGCUCAUGCACGAAAGCGUGGGGAGCAAACAGG